This 27-nucleotide small RNA is filed under the name Bombyx mori (domestic silkworm). RNAcentral describes it as "ovarian small RNA-10876". Lineage: Eukaryota; Metazoa; Arthropoda; Insecta; Lepidoptera; Bombycidae. The record is from RNAcentral.
AAUUCCUGUAUUCGGUCAGCGAGGUCC